GAUGAACGCUGGCAGAAUGCUUAACACAUCAGCGACUGAUUGGUGGCAGACGGGUGAGUAACGCGUAAAUAACUUGCCUCACAGGUAGGGACCACAUUUGGAAACGAAUGCUAAUACCUAAUCCUGUGUGAGAGCUUUGCGUCCCAUUUGCUAGUUGGAGAGGUAACGGCUCACCAAGGCGAGGAUGUGUAGCCGGCCUGCGAGGGUGAUCGGCUACAAGGGGACAGAGACACGGGCCUUACGCCUACGGGAGGCAGGAGUGGGGAAGAUAGGACAAUGGACCAAAGGCUGAGCCAGCAAUUCUGUGUGCACGAUGAAGUUUUCGGAAGGUAAAGUGCUGUCAGUUGGGAAGCGGUACCAACAGAAGAAGGGACGGCUAACUACGUGCCAGCAGCCGCGGUAAUUC
RNAcentral lists this ribosomal RNA (406 nucleotides) under uncultured bacterium. RNAcentral describes it as "partial 16S ribosomal RNA". It matches the Rfam family "Bacterial small subunit ribosomal RNA", at positions 28 to 526 of the family's 1533-position model. The record is from RNAcentral.